This 237-nucleotide ribosomal RNA is filed under the name uncultured Staphylococcus sp. Its description in RNAcentral is "partial 16S ribosomal RNA". It matches the Rfam family "Bacterial small subunit ribosomal RNA", at positions 104 to 334 of the family's 1533-position model. The record is from RNAcentral. Lineage: Bacteria; Bacillati; Bacillota; Bacilli; Caryophanales; Staphylococcaceae.
GGGUGAGUAACACAUGGAUAACCUACCUAUAAGACUGGGAUAACUUCGGGAAACCGGAGCUAAUACCGGAUAAUAUAUUGAACCGCAUAGGUUCAAUAGUGAAAGACGGUUUUGCUGUCACUUAUAGAUGGAUCCGCGCCGCAUUAGCUAGUUGGUAAGGUAACGGCUUACCAAGGCAACGAUGCGUAGCCGACCUGAGAGGGUGAUCGGCCACACUGGAACUGAGACACGGUCCAG